Molecule: ribosomal RNA, 481 nt
Filed under: uncultured bacterium
Lineage: Bacteria
Description: partial 16S ribosomal RNA
Rfam family: Bacterial small subunit ribosomal RNA
Source: RNAcentral
GAUGAACGCUGGCGGCGUGCUUAACACAUGCAAGUCGAACGAAGCAUUUGCGACAGAUUUUUUCGGAAUGAAGUUGCUUAUGACUGAGUGGCGGACGGGUGAGUAACGCGUGGGUAACCUGCCUUGUACUGGGGGGUAGCAGCUGGAAACGGCUGGUAAUACCGCAUAAGCGCACAAUGUUGCAUGACAUGGUGUGAAAAACUCCGGUGGUAUAAGAUGGACCCGCGUCUGAUUAGCUAGUUGGUGAGAUAACAGCCCACCAAGGCGACGAUCAGUAGCCGACCUGAGAGGGUGACCGGCCACAUUGGGACUGAGACACGGCCCAGACUCCUACGGAAGGCAGCAGUGGGGAAUAUUGCACAAUGGAGGAAACUCUGAUGCAGCGACGCCGCGUGAGUGAAGAAGUAAUUCGUUAUGUAAAGCUCUAUCAGCAGGGAAGAUAGUGACGGUACCUGACUAAGAAGCUCCGGCUAAAUACGUG